This 468-nucleotide ribosomal RNA is filed under the name uncultured bacterium. RNAcentral describes it as "partial 16S ribosomal RNA". It matches the Rfam family "Bacterial small subunit ribosomal RNA", at positions 28 to 507 of the family's 1533-position model. The record is from RNAcentral.
GACGAACGCUGGCGGCGUGCUUAACACAUGCAAGUCGAACGGAAAGGCCCUGCUUUUGUUGGGUGUUCGAGUGGCGCGCGGGUGAGUAACAUGUGUGUAACCUGCCCUUGCCUUUGGGAUAACUUCUGGAAACUGGGGAUAAUACCGGUUAGGAGCUCUUGCUGCACGGUGUGGGUUGGAUAGUUUCGGCGGUUGGGGAUGGGCUCGAGGGUUAUCGGCUUGCUUGUGGGGUAGUGGCUUUCCAAGGCUUUGACGGGUAGGCGGCCUGUGAGGCUGACCGGACACAUGGGGACUGAGAUACGGCCCAGACGCCGACGGGAGGCAGCAGGGGGGAAUAUAACACAGUGGGCGGAAGCCUGAGGCAGCAACGCCGCGGUCGGGAUGACGGCCUUCUGGUUGUAAACCGCUAUCGCCUUGGACGAAGCGGGAGUGACGGUAAUGGGUAAAGAAGCACCGGCUAACUACGUG